Arabidopsis thaliana (thale cress) is the source of this 566-nucleotide long non-coding RNA. RefSeq annotates it as other RNA. The transcript has a single exon. NCBI's taxonomy places the organism in Eukaryota, Viridiplantae, Streptophyta, Magnoliopsida, Brassicales, Brassicaceae. The record is from RefSeq.
UGGCCACCAUCGCCUGAAUCUGCUUCGAAGCAGACCAAUUCUUGCUGACGACUUGGCCAUAUAAUCCUCCUCCGGUGACAUUGCUACGCGUUCCAAACGACCAAGACCGUGACGUCGUCCUUCUUUGGUUACUGCAACCACUUCCUCCACUGUUUCUAUCUCUCCUCUCAUCAGCGUUUAAGCCAAUGAGGAGACUUGUUAAAGCACGCUUAGCUCUACGAACGCUUCCGUCACAUAACGGCCGUUGCUUAAGCGCCGUGACAGCUAUCUCCGCAAAACGUCGGCUCUGUCUAACGGAAUCAAUCCCGUUAACGACGGCGUUACAUAAAUCUAACGCCUUUAAAAUCCGAUCAAGCAUUUCCGGCAAAACCCUUUCUAAAGACGGCGAUUUCGAGAUCUGGGUCGUGCUCAACACCGCCUUGAACUCUGCUUCACAGGACAUAAAAACAUCUAGAAGAUUCUGUAACCAAGGGAUCGAGAGAAUCGGAUCAGACGGCUGAGAGACGGCGGAAGAGGAGGAGGAAGGAGGCGGAGAUGGAGAUGUGAUUAAAUCCGAGAAACGUUCG